GAUGAACGCUGGCGGCGUGCCUAAUACAUGCAAGUCGAGCGAACGGACGAGAAGCUUGCUUCUCUGAUGUUAGCGGCGGACGGGUGAGUAACACGUGGAUAACCUACCUAUAAGACUGGGAUAACUUCGGGAAACCGGAGCUAAUACCGGAUGAUAUUUUGAACCGCAUGGUUCAAAAGUGAAUGACGGUCUUGCUGUCACUUAUAGAUGGAUCCGCGCUGCAUUAGCUAGUUGGUAAGGUAACGGCUUACCAAGGCAACGAUGCAUAGCCGACCUGAGAGGGUGAUCGGCCACACUGGAACUGAGACACGGUCCAGACUCCUACGGGAGGCAGCAGUAGGGAAUCUUCCGCAAUGGGCGAAAGCCUGACGGAGCAACGCCGCGUGAGUGAUGAAGGUCUUCGGAUCGUAAAACUCUGUUAUUAGGGAAGAACAGAUGUGUAAGUAACUGUGCACAUCUUGACGGUACCUAAUCAGAAAGCCACGGCUAACUACGUG
This 497-nucleotide ribosomal RNA is filed under the name uncultured bacterium. RNAcentral describes it as "partial 16S ribosomal RNA". It matches the Rfam family "Bacterial small subunit ribosomal RNA", at positions 28 to 507 of the family's 1533-position model. The record is from RNAcentral.